This 497-nucleotide ribosomal RNA is filed under the name uncultured bacterium. RNAcentral's name for it is "partial 16S ribosomal RNA". It matches the Rfam family "Bacterial small subunit ribosomal RNA", at positions 28 to 507 of the family's 1533-position model. The record is from RNAcentral.
GAUGAACGCUGGCGGCGUGCCUAAUACAUGCAAGUCGAGCGAACAGACGAGGAGCUUGCUCCUCUGACGUUAGCGGCGGACGGGUGAGUAACACGUGGAUACCCUACCUAUAAGACUGGGAUAACUUCGGGAAACCGGAGCUAAUACCGGAUAAUAUAUUGAUCCGCAUGGUUCAAUAGUGAAAGACGGUUUUGCUGUCACUUAUAGAUGGAUCCGCGCCGCAUUAGCUAGUUGGUAAGGUAACGGCUUACCAAGGCAACGAUGCGUAGCCGACCUGAGAGGGUGAUCGGCCACACUGGAACUGAGACACGGUCCAGACGCCUACGGGAGGCAGCAGUAGGGAAUCUUCCGCAAUGGGCGAAAGCCUGACGGAGCAACGCCGCGUGAGUGAUGAAGGUCUUCGGAGCGUAAAACUCGGUUAUUAGGGAAGAACAAAUGUGUAAGUAACUAUGCACGUCUUGACGGUACCUAAUCAGAAAGCCACGGCUAACUACGUG